Molecule: transfer RNA, 73 nt
Filed under: Pangasianodon hypophthalmus (striped catfish)
Lineage: Eukaryota; Metazoa; Chordata; Actinopteri; Siluriformes; Pangasiidae
Description: tRNA-Sec
Source: RNAcentral
GCAGUGGUGGCUUAGUGGUUAAAGGCUCUGGGUCACUGGCCAGAAGGUUGGGGGUUCAAGCCCCAACCCUGCC